RNAcentral lists this ribosomal RNA (85 nucleotides) under Desulfobulbus sp. Tol-SR. Lineage: Bacteria; Pseudomonadati; Thermodesulfobacteriota; Desulfobulbia; Desulfobulbales; Desulfobulbaceae. The record is from RNAcentral.
CCUGGUGACCAAGGCGGAGGGGCCCCACCCGAUUCCAUUCCGAACUCGGAAGUUAAGACCUCCAGCGCCAAUGAUACUGCCAGUC